ACCUUCGUGGUGUAAUGGUUAACACACACGGCUCGUAUUCGAGAGGUCCAGGUUCGAUUCCCGGAGAGGCCA
This 72-nucleotide transfer RNA is filed under the name Stegodyphus mimosarum. It matches the Rfam family "tRNA". Rfam says of the family: Transfer RNA (tRNA) molecules are approximately 80 nucleotides in length. The record is from Rfam by way of RNAcentral. Lineage: Eukaryota; Metazoa; Arthropoda; Arachnida; Araneae; Eresidae.